This 29-nucleotide small RNA is filed under the name Bombyx mori (domestic silkworm). Its description in RNAcentral is "ovarian small RNA-12087". The record is from RNAcentral. Lineage: Eukaryota; Metazoa; Arthropoda; Insecta; Lepidoptera; Bombycidae.
AGCCGCGGUCUAGGACUACUAGGUCCUGC